RNAcentral lists this unclassified non-coding RNA (292 nucleotides) under Hevea brasiliensis (rubber tree). The record is from RNAcentral. Lineage: Eukaryota; Viridiplantae; Streptophyta; Magnoliopsida; Malpighiales; Euphorbiaceae.
GCAGUAGCAUCACGAAUUUCACUUUGAGUGCCAUCUGAACUAGUCCGAAACCAACGGAAAACUGAAUCUCCUUCUUCACCUCCCCAAUACUUCUUGUCCACACUUAAUUGAGUUCCUUCAACAGCAAUUCCAAUUAUUUGUAGAGAGAGCAACCUCGGACUUCCAGGUCGAACCCUUUCCUGUCCCAUGCAAGUCCUUGGCUCACCUACAAUCCCAUCAUCACGCACAGGGACACAUUGGAAGGAUAUGAAUUUACCAAUUGCAUCUCUGGUAAUACGAUAUUGAAGAACUC